GACAGAGGGUGCAAACGUUGUUCGGAUUUACUGGGCGUAAAGCGUGUGUAGGCGGCUUCGCAAGUUGGAUGUGAAAUCCCACGGCUUAACCGUGGAACUGCUCGGCAUACUGGCGGUCUUGAGCCAUCUAGGGGCUACCGGAACAAAUGGUGGAGCGGUGAAAUGCGUAGAUAUCAUUUGGAACGCCAAUGGUGAAAACAGGUAGCUGGGGAUGUGCUGACGCUGAGACACGAAAGCCAGGGGAGCGAACGGG
RNAcentral lists this ribosomal RNA (253 nucleotides) under uncultured bacterium. RNAcentral describes it as "partial 16S ribosomal RNA". It matches the Rfam family "Bacterial small subunit ribosomal RNA", at positions 524 to 776 of the family's 1533-position model. The record is from RNAcentral.